RNAcentral lists this non-coding RNA (24 nucleotides) under Arabidopsis thaliana (thale cress). Lineage: Eukaryota; Viridiplantae; Streptophyta; Magnoliopsida; Brassicales; Brassicaceae. The record is from RNAcentral.
AACGCCGUUAAAUGAUUCUGUAAC